Rattus norvegicus (Norway rat) is the source of this 6908-nucleotide non-coding RNA. NCBI's taxonomy places the organism in Eukaryota, Metazoa, Chordata, Mammalia, Rodentia, Muridae. The record is from RefSeq and is a predicted model, not a curated record.
GACUCGGUUUCAGUUUCUAACACCCACAUCUAGUGGCUAACAACUACUGGUAACCCCAGUUCCAGGACAUCCAACACUGGAAAGGCACGGUGCUUACAAACACAAACCCCUCCCCCCUCAAUACAUGAGACUCUGUGCUCACAAGCACCCUCCAUUCCCCCCAACACACAAGACAAUGUGCUCAUAAGCACACAUCAUCUCCCCCACAUACGUGGCAACAAGCUCACAAGCAUGUGUCAUUCCCCCAAACACACAUACAAUCAAAAAUAAUAAAAACAACCUUUUUUAAAAAGAAGCAUCAACAAACUGACCAUAGAAAACUUUCAGACGGAUAACAGCCACUAGAUUUUCUCACUUGUAAAGAGAGAGAUGCUGUUGACAAACUGGGGCAUGAGUGGGUGUUUUUCAUCUCUUGAUUGGUGCCCUGAGAGCACUGAAGGGUCGCAACCAAGGCCCAAGGGUCUAGAGGUAAAUACGUGCUACAGAAUUAUACUUCUGUCUUUUAUCUUUCUUUGUGUUUUCACAUAGUUAACAAAAUUAUUUAAGUUGUUUAGAAUGAUAAAACACCUUGUGUUAGCUUAAAUAACCAGUGCACAUCCCUAGCUUAAAUUUUCUUAGAAUCCCUUUAAGUCACAGUGAACUUGGACUGAGGACCCAACCUGUGGGACACCAUUCAUCAGAGGACACAAAGUCACUCUUUCUGCUCCGUAUCACAAUGAUCCACCAAAUGAACUCAUAACCCGCAGGCAGAGAUAGGAUCCAUCUUGCUGAGGCCCCUACUGGGCCCUAAACUUCCUGCUUGCUGUGCGUUUGGCUUGCAGGAUGCAGUUAUGCAUAUCUGUUUACUGGUGUUCUCUUAGCAUGAAACAACCACUUUCAGGUAUGUGUCGGGGACGUAAAUCCACGUUAUCAAAUCACUCCACCAAGUGGAUUUUUAACAAGCCAAUUCAAGCUGUACAUGGGAGCCAAUGUUGAUCUAUGUGCAGGUACUACCUCUAAAAGAGCUUACAGACGGAUGCCGCUUGGCAAUUCUGUGGUUUCACGAUAACCCAAGCCUUUGUAGGCAUGUUGUCCUUAUUGAAGACCUCCGCCUUCAUGAUGUUAAUGCUUCUUCAAUUCUCUAAGCGCAUCCCUGUAACUCCAACCUGAAGCCUGCAUGUAUCUCCCAGAGUCCAACUACAAGCAAGCAGAGAGAAAUAGAAAGUGUUCCUGAGCUCAGGAAAUAAGGAAAUAGAAUAAUGAAAUGCGGCAUAUACUUCGUCUAUUCGUUUUACGAAACACUUAUGUCAACAAAUCUCUCACGCUUUUCGCUAAAAUUUAUCAUUUCAUAAAAUCUUUUCUGCUGAAGCCACCCUUCCUUGCCCAAACCUGCUCAGCCUGUCAGACCAGCCAAUCAACAUUAACCAAAGGUCACUCAACAUAAUUCAGUAUACUGGCCCUAGAUACUGACUUUCAUGGUAUGAAUGAAAUCCUCCCUCUUCCUUAAGAGCCCAAGGCAAACAUAGUAAGCAAGAACCUCCAUUUUAGGCUUCUUCCCAUAUGGAGAACUUAAGGUCACAGGUAGACAGACUAGCUGACCUGUUGGACCCUGAACUUACUACACAGAUUCGUAAUGGCUCUACCCUGUUCCUUGUGUUUUAACUAUAAACAAGGUGCUUAAAGGGACCAUGACACAGCUUUAGAAGGUCCUGAAGAGCAGGGGUGAGGUCAGGGCCUAUGUCAUUGCUGUAGGGAUAAGAAUAGAGCGAUCUUCCCACUUGGGCGAAUUAACCAAACUGAGAGCAAGUCUAUUUCAGCCAUGAAGUGUGGGCACGUGUCUGGAGACACGGCUUUGAUACAGUGAAGCCCGUAAUAGUUCCCAGCUGUGGGAUGCUGAGACGCACGACCGUGGAAAUAUCUGUUAAUGGUGUUUGGGGAACCUGGCUCCUUAGUGAAAGGUGCCAUGCACGUGGCCUGUGAGUAGUUCCUCAGGUAGCACAGCCCCAACCGUGUGAGUCAGUUCGAGCACCACAGUUAGAUCAAGUUUGGGUGAAGACUCCUUGGAGGAUUAAAUCCCCACUUUGUAUAUUCAGAUAUCACAUAUUAACCUCCACAUUCACAAGCGAGUUCUGCACAGACAAACAACACUCACAGCCGUACAGGGACCUGGGCAGUUUCCACAGCCAUUGUUUCUGUCUCAAGAAAAAGUAUUUGUCAAUCUUCUGUUUGCAACUAGUCUACUCACUAUGCCAUGAGCACAUGCAAAUGAACCAGGCUUGCUCACCUACUGGCCUCUUUCCUUCUGUGUCCAACCUCUUACUCCCUCUACUAGGUCUCUGCUCUCACACAGUAAGAGUUACAUUCCUGCUGCCCCUUCCUCAACCCCACAGUACAUUCUUACCACUCUGUUUCUCUUCUUUUUAUAGUUAGAUACUUGAAACAUCAACGUUUGCUUGCCUUGUGUAUCUUGCCCAGUCUGGAACCUCAGACAACCCCUCUGUGUCUCCCACCAGCUCACCAAUCUGCCUCUGCAAAGUGACCCGGCCAGUUGCCAAGCUGAAUGGCCUCUGCUGAGCUGACUGGCUUCGUACUGAGCAUGCCAGGUGUCUUAUAUCCUUACUUUGGACACUCAUCACCUGUAGCCUCAGGGUUGCCUCAGAUGCCAAUUGGUUCAUGGGAUGCCUGUUUAUGUACUUCUGGAAUCUCUCUCAGGACUCUGCCAAAACCCCCAAACAGCGUCCAAAAGGCCACAUCUUUUACUGGUCAUCCACGAAUUGAAUGCAAACUAUGAAAAUAACACAGAACCCUCUAGCAAGAGAAUGAAGCUUCGGGUGGGUGGGCAUAGCAGAGAGAGCUCACAUACUUGAGGAGUAAAUGAGGAGAGGGAGUUCACAAUAAGACACAGAGAACAUUCAAGGAGAGAAAGCUUCCAGGGCUGGUAAACAGGCUAAGUGGAGAAAAUGCUGUAAGGAAAAAGAACAACCAAGUGUGUGAGGUGGGGAUUAAAAGCCGGUCCCAAAGCGAUCGAGGGAGGGCAGUAAUGAAACACAUCUGGGAAAGAGGAGAUCGGGAAUGGAUAUCCCAAGGGGCGGAGCUGCGACCAGCAAGUCUACACACGAAACGCGCAGGCCCAAGAACAGUCAGCCACACAAAGAUUAAAGAGGCAUUUUCACUAAGAGACGGAUAAAUUGGCUUCUCAACUGACAAUAACAAGACAUCAGCCAAAGUGUGGUAGAUCUGUGUUUCAUGUGUUGCUCUUAACAUUAAAACGGACGCAUCCUUUUAAAAGGAAAAGCUAAUUUUGCAGAAGAUGUAGCCAGAGCUUUGAUCUGUUACAUAUAUAUAUAUAUAUAUAUAUACAUAUAUAUAUAUAUAUAUAUAUAUGGGAAUCUAGCCUAAGAAACUAACCAAAAAUAUCUGUAGUCCCAAAACUGUUUAUUUUAGCAUUGUUUAUAAUUAUUAAAGGGGGGAGGGAAACCCUUGGGGGUAAAAAAAAAAGGAAUCAAAGGAAUUAAAUUACGUUGUAUUCACUUAAGAGGAAUUGUGCAAACCAGAAAUAAUAUAAUGUGUUUAUGAUAAAAAGAAAUAAUAAAUAAAAGUGCUUGGCAUGUGUUUGCGCUUAAGGAGAGAGGCAGAAACACAGACCGGGCGAAGACGCACAGGGAGAUGAAACCGAGAUACUGUUUCCACUUCUUCCUACGCUCGCUGUGAUAUGGUAAAUUAUUCGGGGCAGGGAGAAGUCAGCAGAAGGCAGGAAGACAAGGCAGGACAGGCCAGCAGAGGAUAAAAACACGAGAACGCGGUUUUGAAAACAGCCUUUCUCCAAGGCGAAGGCUGACUGACUCAGUGAACAGACUACCCUCCCGUAGAAGCUAAAGAUGACAUGAGUCGCAGAGGACCAUAAUUUGCAAAAAAAAAAAUCAUCGUAUGAAGUAAUUAAUGUAAGCAUGGGUAAGUUUCCAGGAUUAAGACUUUGAUCUGACAAGCAGAAGAAGUGGAGUAAGGCUGGCACGGGUGUGCUGUGGCCUUAAGACUUCAAAUGUUUUUCCAUGCUAGUCAAAAUUUAAUUACUUCUCCCCCACCCUCCGCCACUGACAGUUCCAAAUUAAAAUAAAUGGACCAUGUCGAGACAAAUCUCGGAUGCAUGUAGUGCUUGAGAAAAUGCUGCUGCUCGCCCAUGGACAGCCUGAGACUCUCCUAAUAAAUUCCCUUCCUUCUUCUUGGGAUGGUAAGGGAAUUGAGGGGCAGGGCUUGGUGUUGAAAUAAAGAAACAGGCUCGGAUCUAGUGUGUUUUGCAGGGUUGUUCCCACAGGAAUGCUCUUCUCCUAUAUGUUCUCUGUGCACUGAUCUUACAAGGUUUGGGGGAAGUGGGAUAGACAAAUGCCCUGUGGUCACCCAAUGUAUUAAGCUAAUUCCUUUCUAAGUGCAGGUAGAUUGGUUUUUACUUAGUGACAACCAUCAACUCUGUUAUAGAUUAAUGAGGGUUUGAUAGCCCAGUUGGACCUCGUACGGCCACACAUUUGCUAUCAUUGUAACAGAGGCGGCUCCUUGUCACCUGAGGCAAGGAAGCAAUUCACUCGACAUGAGUCUGUCCUCUUCAAGACGAGGCCUGGGGAGUCCCGGAGACCUGCCUUCUCAUCUCUGCAGCUCUGAAGCAUUUGCUGAGCAUUCCCACCUUCCCAAAACCCAUCGUUUAGAGAACUCGCUUGUCAUUGGCUUCUUGUUUUGAAGUCCCAGUUCCUGGUAUUUUCCUCAGACUCAUUGUACCUCUCAAGACUGAGUGGGAAAGUAUCAGGCAGGCACCAUGGCAGUAAACAGGAAGCCAGUGGCCCCUUGGAACCAUGAAUGCUGCCCUCUGUGUUUGGUCUUGGGAAGUAGAGAUAAGAAGGUACACAAAUUCGGUCAUGUGUCUGUGGCAAUUCAAACAAAUAAUGAGUCUCACAAAUAGGAAACCAUAAGCACUCAGACACACUGGAAUUAAUGAAGAACUCUUUUCCUAGUGAUGCCACUCUGGCUUGAGAAAAUUACCUGGAAGCUUCCGGUAGUCACAGCGAACCAACAGUGAGGAGCGUCUCUGCUGUUCUUGUCAUCAGUUCCUUCUCCAUCCAGAGCUGUUUCAGAAAAUCCGCUCUAGCCUCCUCCAACCUGUCUGUACAGAGGCCAAUUCUACCUUCAUGCUGAGGAUCAAAGCAAGAAUGGGGGAGAAGAAGCCGGACGGUUCCUCACAACUGGAGCCUUCCUUUUGUCCUUGCCUAGACUCCCGAGAAGGCAGGGAGCCACAGGUCCUUCCAUCCCUUGGCUUCUCAUUCCAUCCCUCACAAGCCACUGCCACCCUCCCCUGAGCUCUGAGAGCACAGCUUUGCAUGUCUUCACGACUGGCUGAGUCACCUUUGGACACCAGCAAGGCUGUACCAUGUCUGAGUCGAUCCUGCGUGCUUCUCCACAGGUCCCUUCAAUACACUCUGGAGCACCGCCGCUAUCAGCAGCACGGCAGUUCCUUCCAACUCUAGUGUGAGACACGGUCUGUCCCCAUACCUUUCUAGAAGACCUAGGUGACCUUGUUUCCAUCUAUUCAGUGGACAGUUUGCCUAGUCUUGUGGCAUUGUCAACGUAAUCCUAAAUGCUCUGACACUAGACCUCGAUGAAAACCAAGGUCUCUGUGCUUCGUCACAACAUUGGCUAAUCUCACGACUCCUUGUCUUCUCCCUCAUGUGUUGGGAAUUCUAGUAAUUUGUCCUUCUCUGUGGUUUCUGGAAUUACAGCAACAAUUUCUAAAUCAAAUAAGACAUACUAUGUUGAGAUUUUGACUACAUUCGUAUUGAAUUUAGAGAUUCAAUAUCGUUUCAUUUUUUUUUGUAAUGUUAGCCCAACGACCUAAAACCAUCCUUUCCGUGGACUUCCCAGCUUCCUCUCUGAGCUCUCUUCCGAGACAAUCUUCGAAAGCAUCGCUGUUGCGCCCUCCAUACCUGGGCACGCUGGGCACCCAGGAUCUUCUUUCUGACUCGUGAACCACAAUAAGGCUGUAAGACAGGAACUGAGCUCUUACCUCAUGGUGGAGCUAGCAGGACAGGGUGGAGGCAGUGGAGAUCAGGCAUGGCAGCCACUGAGGUGGCAGGGAGAUGCAGAUCAUGGGGCCAGGCUCGUGGGAUAUCACUAAGUUGGAUGGCCAGCAUGACCAGGUAGCAAGGACGCCAACACCUUAUCUUCACCAACCACUGCCCAUAAGAGCUAACAACAACAGGAAGAGAGCAGGAUACACGGAGAACUCUUAAAACACUGUCCUAAGACCCAACAGCUCUCUGCUAAGCCUAUAAAUGAUGAGUGUGUGGUGCUCACAGCCUCAGGCUGUCUGCCCUUACCCAGGCUGCAUGACUUUCCUUCCUCCAAAGCAGCAAGCCGUUCCUGCAAGCAAACGGCAAAUGUGGGACCUGGGUGUGCACCAGUGAAGAAGGUAUUGUUCGUGGUCACAGUAUCACCCGGAGACGCCUGGGAACCAAACAGCGAUGCUGGUUUGUAUAGAGGGAGCAGAGAUGCUGGUUUGUAUAGAGGGAGCAGAGAUGCUAGGGAGGCCUGUGGGAGGUAAGGGGGUGCCGAGCAAUGCAGGUUAUUUGGUUUUAUUUGUUAGCUUCCUGUCUAAACUGUUGGCUGCAAAAAUUCCCCAAUUACAUUACGUGUCAGGGAACCUUGAUACACCUUAUGAUAUCCCUGGCAGCGUCUAGCUUUACUUAGCUUUUAAGUUGCUUUCCCCAGAAAAGUUUUCUUCAUGGCCUGCAGCACCAUGUCAUUUUGAGGACCAAAAUCUACAGAGUUUGCACUGAGAGGGAGCACACGAAUAGAGAAAGUGACUCCAAGCAGCCUGAGUGAAGACAAGCCCUACAGUGAGCUCCUCUCGGUUCGAGUAUUUUAGAAUUGUUUCUACAAAGAAAAUG